CACCUGUUUAACAAAAACAUGGCUUAUAGAAAAUAAUUUUAAGUCUAAUCUGCUCAAUGAAUAUUUAAAUAGCUGCAGUAUCAAUAACUGUACAAAGGUAGCAUAAUAAUUAGUUUUUUAAUUAAAAACUCGUAUGAAAGAUUAAAUGAAAUAUAAACUUUAUCAAUAAAAUUAAUUAUUAAAAUUAAAUUUUAAGUUAAAAUUCUUAAAUUAAAUUAAAAGACGAGAAGACCCUAUAGAAUUUUAUUAAUAAGAAUUCAUUUAAUUUAAAUUUUUAAUUUAAUUUUUUUUAUUAAUUUAAUUGGGGUAAUUAAAAAAUUUAAUAAACUUUUUAUUAAUUUUACAUUAAUGUAUGGAUAAAUAAACCUAAAUUUUAGGAUAAAAAAACAAAUUACCUUAGGGAUAACAGCGUAA
RNAcentral lists this ribosomal RNA (414 nucleotides) under Lipolexis oregmae. Its description in RNAcentral is "partial 16S ribosomal RNA". The stretch from base 1 to 149 matches the Rfam family "Bacterial large subunit ribosomal RNA", at positions 1797 to 2007 of the family's 2925-position model. Lineage: Eukaryota; Metazoa; Arthropoda; Insecta; Hymenoptera; Braconidae. The record is from RNAcentral.